GUCCCUGUAGCGCAAUGGAUAGCGUGUUGGACUUUUAAUCCGAAGGUCGUGGGUUCGAAUCCCACCUAGAAUG
This 73-nucleotide transfer RNA is filed under the name Trichonephila inaurata madagascariensis. It matches the Rfam family "tRNA". Rfam says of the family: Transfer RNA (tRNA) molecules are approximately 80 nucleotides in length. Lineage: Eukaryota; Metazoa; Arthropoda; Arachnida; Araneae; Nephilidae. The record is from Rfam by way of RNAcentral.